RNAcentral lists this ribosomal RNA (478 nucleotides) under uncultured bacterium. Its description in RNAcentral is "partial 16S ribosomal RNA". It matches the Rfam family "Bacterial small subunit ribosomal RNA", at positions 28 to 523 of the family's 1533-position model. The record is from RNAcentral.
GACGAACGCUGGCGGCGUGCUUAACACAUGCAAGUCGAACGGUAAGGCCCUUCGGGGUACACGAGUGGCGAACGGGUGAGUAACACGUGGGUGAUCUGCCCUGCACUUCGGGAUAAGCCUGGGAAACUGGGUCUAAUACCGGAUAGGACCCUGGGAUGCAUGUCCUGGGGUGGAAAGCUUUUGCGGUGUGGGAUGGGCCCGCGGCCUAUCAGCUUGUUGGUGGGGUGAUGGCCUACCAAGGCGACGACGGGUAGCCGGCCUGAGAGGGUGACCGGCCACACUGGGACUGGGAUACGGCCCAGACUCCUACGGGAGGCAGCAGUGGGGAAUAUUGCGCAAUGGGCGCAAGCCUGAUGCAGCGACGCCGCGUGAGGGAUGACGGCCUUCGGGUUGUAAACCUCUUUCAGCACCGACGAAGCGCAAGUGACGGUAGGUGCAGAAGAAGGACCGGCCAACUACGUGCCAGCCGCCGCGGUAA